This 940-nucleotide long non-coding RNA is filed under the name Ananas comosus (pineapple). RNAcentral describes it as "long non-coding RNA (ACOM_LNC000082)". The record is from RNAcentral. Lineage: Eukaryota; Viridiplantae; Streptophyta; Magnoliopsida; Poales; Bromeliaceae.
AUUCUAAACCCUAAACCCUAAGACGAAGUUGAUAAGUAAUUCAAUAUUUUUGAUAAGUUUAUAUUUAUUUCUGUCAAACUUAUCUUUUAAUAUUUUGUUGGUUAGACGUAGGAGAUAAGUUUAAAUCUUGUUCAAUUAUUGCUAUUAGAAUUUUGAUUUAUGCCUAUAUAUAGGCUGCUGUAAAUGUGUGCAAAAUAAUCUACCAUCGAAAUUUAGUCCAAGAUCAUUUAAUAAAGUUUUAGUUUAAUUCGCUGCAAUACUUCUCUUCUUUCAACAAGUGGAAUCAAAACAAAUCAUGCUUCCAAUAUUUUUUAUUAAAAAAAAGUACGUAGCACUUUCCUUACUAAAUAGGAGUGUUAUUAAAAAAGUUAUUGAAAAAAUAAAUGGGGUAGGAGUGUUCAAAAUCAAUAAUUUUUAAUCGUUGAUAUGUGUCGUUUGCAAGUUUAAUGGUGGAGAAGUAUUCAAAUUAAAUGAAAUUUUGAUAAAAAUUUUUUUAUAACAAGAUCAAUAUUUCCAAUCAAAAAUAUUAGUGCUAUAUCAUAACUAUUUGUGAGAUUCUUAUUUUCAACUGUUAAUUUUAAGUCAUUUUGAUCAUUAAGUAAAUGAUAUCGCAAAACCGUAAAAUUUAUUUUCUAAAUAGUUCAAAUACACUAGAUCAAAUCUAACGGAGCUGAUCGUCGUUUCGAAAACUUUAUCAUUAAAAAUAACUUAGGAGCACGAAGACCUCGUGCUCUUAAUAGUACAUAAGUCCUAUUCAUAAAAUAUGAUAAUUUUUUAUAUAUGUAUAAGCUUUUAUGCAAUAACUAGUUAAGGAAUCUUGCGCGAUGCAGUAGGAAGCCAAUAUAAGAGUAAAUUAUUAGAACUAUUAACAUCAUUUUUUUUUCUAUUAUGAAUUAAUGUUUUUAAAUAUUAUUUAUCUCCGUAUUGAAUAAUUAAAAAU